CGUCGCGUGAGGGAGGCCAGUCUUAGCCCGCUGCCAGCUUUGCGUGUCGCCACAGCCGUAGCAGGAGCCCCAGCGCAGUCAGCCGAGCGCCUUCCUCAGCGGCAGCACAGCGCGCAGUACAGUGCAGCGGGUAGCCGAACGCUCAGUGUAACAGGCGCAGCGUCUUAACACUCUCGUAACCGCGGGCGCCUUGCACUACAAGGGCUCGCGAACCAACGCCGGUCGGGCGACCACCUCGAGCGAGUGACGUCACAGCAGUUCGCGCGUGCGCGCGGACGCCGGAGGAUACUGCGCAGGCGCGAGUCGGGCCCCGGGCCACACAGCCGCCACCCUGGACGCCAGUGUGCUAGCCGCCAUGGACAAGGACGCGCUCAAGAAGCAGAUAGAGAACAUGAAGUACCAGGCGACCAUGGAGCGCUGGCCCCUCUCCAAGAGCAUAGCGGCGAUGCGCGAGUACGUGGAGGAGAACGAGAAGAGUGACCCCCUGAUCCACGCGCCGGACAAGAAGAACAACCCGUGGGCCGAGAAGGGCAAGUGCGUCAUCAUGUAGGGCGCGCCCUGCCGCGAGCCCUGGGACCACGACGACAGCCGCCUCCCACCCGCCGCCCCCAGCCUCCGCCCCCGACCACGACCACGACCACACCCUCCGUCUCCGGCUUCGGCAGCCUGCUACCGCCUCCCAUCUCCGGCGACUUCCUCGGGCGUGUCGUUGUCCUCGCAAACAAGUCAAAAAUGUGUUCACAUUUCACGAGACGGUCCUCGAAAUGGAGUGAGCAACAAAGGCGGACUGCUUAGAGGAAAAGGGAAGAAUGGAUACCUGCUAGUUAAAACAAUCUAUUCCGUUGAAUUUAAGGGGGUUAAUAGAUACGAGAAAUUUACUAUUACUGCGUGGAUCUAGCCACCAACAUACAAUCAUAACGAUCAUUCUUAAAUUAUUCAAAAGCGUCUAGUGUAAGACCCGCUUCGGAAGAAAGCGGUAUUGCUUCAGAUAUUUUAGUUUCGUCCAUUUCACCUACGAUCGAAUCAUCUUAUCACAGAAAUCAGCGCGACCUAUUCUCAUGGCAAGCGAGGGAUGCACAGUUCUCGUUUAAUCAAAGUUUCCAGCACUUUUACAUGUAAGCAUGCUGUUUGAUCUUAGUACUUAAACUUUAUAUACCAGAUCACUUGAGCGUAGUUAUUCGUGGUUAUACCGCGUUCACUGUAGAGUUUCACACUUAGUACUGUACCUUUAAGAACUGAUUCCAAUUAGAACUGAAUUGCCAAACCGGAUGUGUGACGAAGUUAGCAACUGCUGGCUCUCGUCGAUAAUUAUAUUUUACAGCCAGUCCUAACCAGUCUCGAUCUAAUCGUAAAGAUGAUGGAAAUUAUCCAAAUAACACUAAAGAUACGGUUGCCUUACUGUGAAAUUGUCGCCUAAGGCGAUUUCAAACCCCAUAGCGCGAACAAACACGUAGAUUUUGUAGGAUGUCUCCUACUGAACGUCAGCAGAUGUGGGAACACAGCAGUAGACUCGGCUAAAUUGUGGGAACCUCUUUUUGAUAAAAUUCUUGGUAUAGCUUUGCAAUGCGAUUACUUUUAAGCCCUUACGAGAUUGAACUUUAGCAUUCUGUUGCAUUUGUAAAUGUUUGUUGUAUUUUCAUCAUUUGAGAUAUCAGAUUCCCAGAGCAUGAGAGUGUUUGCACUUAAAUAACGUCACUUAACUCCAGAUAAUUAAAUUUGUACUUCAAUUUUAAGAAAUUAAAAUAGCGUUGUAAAUGUACUUAUAAUAAAAACCAAAACAGAGUCACCAAUCCACGUCACACUUUGUGCGUUUAGUGAUAUCGAAGAUUUUCCAGUCGUUAAAGUUUCGCACGUGUAUUUACUAUUUAUUAAUGUAAGAAUAAUUUAUAUUUGAACGGUGAGCCUGCAUGAAAAGAAUAACAGAUGUUGCUGCCUGAAAGUUCUAAAAAUGUCCUUGACAGUAUUCGGAAUUCGUAAUCAACUCGUUAUCACCUUGAAAUGGCCUAAAUUUGGAAUUUUCGUAUUAAGAAGACGAUAUUUUGUAUACCGAAAUUCUCUGAAUGGAAAGGCCAGUGAGCAGAAGUCAUAACAUUGACAUUGUUGUUAAGAAGCAAUGUUUUUCAGUCGUGGCAAUUGUCAUGCACGGCAGUCUGUGGGCGUAGAUCUCAGUAAUUCCAUUGCUCAGGUACUUAGAAUUUCUUGCGUAAGCAUUCAGAAAUCGAAUAUUUAAUGUUUUCUUAGUUGUUAAUGUUUAUUACAGUUUUUGAUUGCAGAAACGACGUACUCGCUUUUUCAUUUGACUAUAGGCAGAGGGAACUAGUGAAUUUAACUACUCAGAUCUAGUUACAACGCAGACCACGGACUGAUUCGACUUCUAUACCGUCAUUAACAAUGCUAGAUAGUGUUUGGUCCUAGUUAGCAAAAGUGUUCUCAAAGAAUUGUUCACUUCGCUCACUGUAGUUCUUCUAACUAAUCUAUAAUCUCCCACACUAUGAGUGCUUAUUGAACUUUUCAACUCUUAUUUGUUUCAAACGUCUCUCGUAUUAAUCAUAAAAUUAUACGCAGAAGAAAAUCUCCCACAGGUGUAACAACAUCACAUGCAGUAUCUCCUCGUCUCAGAGAAGCUAUUAUGGAGUAUACAUUAAAUGUCCACUAUCAUUUGUUGUUUUCAUUGUUGUAAGAAAUAGAAUUCCCUACUGCCUCAUUACAUACUUAAAAUAUUGUGAAUGUAUUUUCAUUACGUAGUUGGUUAUUUAUUUAUUAUAUUAUUUCUGUAUUCAUAUUGUGUAACCAUCUUGUCGUGAAUUUGUACAUGUAAAUAAAGUUGUCAUUUCUUGUGACU
Molecule: long non-coding RNA, 2842 nt
Organism: Schistocerca cancellata (South American locust)
Lineage: Eukaryota; Metazoa; Arthropoda; Insecta; Orthoptera; Acrididae
Exons: 3
Source: RefSeq, a predicted model, not a curated record